Non-coding RNA from Arabidopsis thaliana x Arabidopsis arenosa, 181 nucleotides. The record is from the annotation of a GenBank genome assembly. NCBI's taxonomy places the organism in Eukaryota, Viridiplantae, Streptophyta, Magnoliopsida, Brassicales, Brassicaceae.
UGGAUGAAGACAGAGAAGUGGAGUUUGAAACUAGCAUGUAUCAUUUUAGUGAGCUCACAUGAACAACAGCAAGCUGCAGAAGUGGUGCAAGAAACAUGAUAAGUUACUCGCCAAGUGCUUCAAGACUAUCAAGUUUCUGACAGAUAAGCUGAGCUGCUCCUCUUCCACAACAGCUAUCCCA